Molecule: long non-coding RNA, 1062 nt
Organism: Fukomys damarensis (Damara mole-rat)
Lineage: Eukaryota; Metazoa; Chordata; Mammalia; Rodentia; Bathyergidae
Exons: 4
Source: RefSeq, a predicted model, not a curated record
UGCUAGUCGGCUGGCAGAAUAAAAGGCUGUUGGGAACUGUGGGGCGUUCCUGGCGUUAGUCUUAGUGACCGAUGGCUUUGAUAGUCUUAUUUGUUUUUGAAACAGGGUCUCGCAGUUAAAGCUGGCCUUUGAACUCGCGGCCAUCCUCUUGCCAGCCUCAGACGCUCCAGCGCUGGGAUUACUGGCGUGCCCCACCGAGCGCGGCGGCAUAAGCAGUUUUGAAGGAACCUAUCUGCAUCUAACGGGCUGCUGGUCUGACAGCCGCACAGAGGUUGCACUCAUUAGGAACUAGGUAAUUCAGAAUAUUGUAGGUGCCGCCCCUGUGGAGAACGGAUGCAAUAACACCACACCUUCUAGUCCAGACCUUUUCCUCUACUGGUCAACGCAUUCCACCUGUUAAAGGUCAUUUGCGAAAGAUCUCAUAUGCCACAAAAUGACGUUUCAAUCAAUGAAGAGCCACUUACAUCACCUAGUGACACUGUAGCCCUCUCUGUUGCUGGAUCGCAUUCUAAGGUCUGAACCCACUAAGAUUAAGAAUCACCACAUCUGCAAAAAAGGAAAUAUCUUCAGAAGAACCUGAACUACUCGCAAAGUGCCAGCUCCAAGGAAUUCUGGGGAACGUAAAUUUCAGUCAUCUAUUUCUCAUGAUUGGGAGGGAAUUUGGAAGAGGAUAGAAAUGGAUGUUGAGUUUCAACAGAUAAUAUAUAGAAUGCACAUAUUCUUUCGGCAGAAAAAAGUUACCCCAGUCUGCCGUUAAGCAUGGGCAUAUUAAAAACGUGUCAAAGAACUGAGAGUCGUGUUCACUGAGAUCAGCGUGAAGACCGACUACAAAGGGAAGCAGCUCUUCAGACGUGUAGCAUGGGCUCGGCCCGGCAUGGAGAAUGUCCAGGAGAAAAGCGAAGAAGGGAUGAUCGACAUCAAAUUGGACAAACCCCAGAAAUCCCCGGCCAGUGAGGGCGCUGCUCCUGCUAACGCAGAGCCUGACCCAUGGCUUCCUACGCACGACUUGCUUCUGUUGCUUCCUAUUAGGGGUGAGAAACAAGUUUACUAAGAUGAGAGGAU